RNAcentral lists this ribosomal RNA (497 nucleotides) under uncultured bacterium. Its description in RNAcentral is "partial 16S ribosomal RNA". It matches the Rfam family "Bacterial small subunit ribosomal RNA", at positions 28 to 507 of the family's 1533-position model. The record is from RNAcentral.
GAUGAACGCUGGCGGCGUGCCUAAUACAUGCAAGUCGAGCGAACAGACGAGGAGCUUGCUCCUCUGACGUUAGCGGCGGACGGGUGAGUAACACGUGGAUAACCUACCUAUAAGACUGGGAUAACUUCGGGAAACCGGAGCUAAUACCGGAUAAUAUAUUGAACCGCAUGGUUCAAUAGUGAAAGACGGUUUUGCUGUCACUUAUAGAUGGAUCCGCGCCGCAGUAGCUAGUUGGUAAGGUAACGGCUUACCAAGGCGACGAUGCGUAGCCGACCUAAGAGGGUGAUCGGCCACACUGGAACUGAGACACGGUCCAGACUCCUACGGGAGGCAGCAGUAGGGAAUCUUCCGCAAUGGGCGAAAGCCUGACGGAGCAACGCCGCGUGAGUGAUGAAGGUCUUCGGAUCGUAAAACUCUGUUAUUAGGGAAGAACAAAUGUGUAAGUAACUAUGCACGUCUUGACGGUACCUAAUCAGAAAGCCACGGCUAACUACGUG